RNAcentral lists this ribosomal RNA (500 nucleotides) under uncultured bacterium. Its description in RNAcentral is "bacterial SSU rRNA". It matches the Rfam family "Bacterial small subunit ribosomal RNA", at positions 29 to 518 of the family's 1533-position model. The record is from RNAcentral.
AUGAACGCUAGCUACAGGCUUAACACAUGCAAGUCGAGGGGCAGCAUGGGAUAGCUGCUAUCCAGAUGGCGACCGGCGCACGGGUGAGUAACGCGUAUCCAACCUUCCCUAUAGUAGAGAAUAGCCCGGCGAAAGUCGGAUUAAUGCUCUAUGUUGUGUUUUGAGGACAUCUGACGAACACCAAAGGUUCACCGCUAUAGGAUGGGGAUGCGUCUGAUUAGCUUGUUGGCGGGGUAACGGCCCACCAAGGCGACGAUCAGUAGGGGUUCUGAGAGGAAGGUCCCCCCACAUUGGUACUGAGACACGGACCAAACUCCUACGGGAGGCAGCAGUGAGGAAUAUUGGUCAAUGGGCGAGAGCCUGAACCAGCCAAGUAGCGUGCAGGAUGAACCUGCCCUAUGGGUUGUAAACUGCUUUUAUCAGGGAAUAAAGUGCGGCACGUGUGCCGUUUUGUAUGUACCUGAUGAAUAAGGACCGGCUAAUUCCGUGCCAGCAGCAGC